Homo sapiens (human) is the source of this 3344-nucleotide long non-coding RNA. Ensembl annotates it as endogenous retrovirus group K13 member 1. Its record names the gene ERVK13-1. The record is from Ensembl. Lineage: Eukaryota; Metazoa; Chordata; Mammalia; Primates; Hominidae.
GGCGUCGCGGGCACAGCGUGAGGGCCGCCGUUGCUGGAGUUCAGCUUAGGGAAGGAGGACUCUGAGGAGGCCCCGAGCGGCGGAGCGCUUCGGGGGAGGCGCCCGCGCAGACGCGAGGCCCAUAGCCAGGACCACCACCUAGCUGAGGAACCGCCCUGGGCUUCCACCUGGAACGGGGUCCUUGGCGCCUCCGCCUGCGAGAGAAGCAGAAGGUGCAAGUUCUUGCUGAAAGCACCUGAUGCUCCUGGGCCCCCUUUUCCAGAUUCUUGAUGACAUUGGUCGGGAAAACUCGCCUUUCACGGCCCGGCCAAGGGGCAUUUGGGUGCUUUUGCUGCCCGUGGCUGUGCUCAGCGUUGUGGGAAGCCCCUGGGAGGCCGAAUGUGCAGGAUCACCGAGGGGAAAGUGAGCUUGACAGUUCUACAGUCUGGGGACGACGGUUUAAAAAUUUAUGCCUUGCAUGCGAUGUGCAGUGGGUGAUGGAAGAACGUCUACAUGGCUUUAAAAUUGGAUUUAAAAGGCAAAUAUUUUAAAUGAAGGAAAACCCAAGAAGUUUACUUGAUUCCUUAUCUUCCAGGAUGCGACUUUUGUUUAUUUAUUUAUUUUAUUUUGAUGGAGUCUCGCUGCCGUCGCGCAGGCUGGAGUGCAGUGACGCGAUCUUGACCCGGGAACCUCCACCUCCCGGGUUCAAGCGAUUCUCCUUCCUCAACCACCCGAGUAGCUGGGAUUACAGGCGUGUGCCACCAUGCCCGGCUAAUUUUUGUGUUUUUAGUAGAGACCGGGGAAGGUAUGGGCCCUCUUUUGAGAAAAAUGCAGAGUGACACUGAAUUUUGUAACUACAUCAGGAGGCUCUUGAACCUUCUGCAGCUCACUCGUGGAGUUUGUAGAGAUGCGUAAUAAUCCGAAGUGUUAAGGAAGAAGGUUCUGUUGAGAAAAAGUUGGAGGGCUGAAAGGGAUGCCUUUCGCUAUUUCGACAUGUGUGGCUGUACCCCAGAGUGCCCUGGCUAACACGCAAAACCAUGAAUUAGGCGGCUUGGCGAGGCUCAGUGGAGGCUGGGGCCGAGAGUCAUGUCAAAGUUUGUGGGGUUAACCUGCACCCAGUGACAGUCAUGGCGAAGUUUGUGAGGUUAACUCGCACCCAGUAACGCUGUUCCAAUGCAAGGUGUGUAUUUGGUGUCAUCCACGGGAAGAGGAAACAGCAAAUUUUCUCAUGGCCUUGGCAGUUCCACAUGAUGGACAUUUCAUAUCUGCAGUUUUCUUCGCAUGAGAUGGCUUUUUUGCACAAAAACACUGGAAUCCAGUGAGCAAGAAUGAUAGAAUGCAAGAUGGAUUUCCACAUGAGGAAGUGUCACGAACAAGCGUUUUGCAUCUCUGUCAGCUGGAUUCCCCCAUGUGUACGUAUGUGAGAACAUGCCGUGUUUCCUGUCUGUAAUGGUAGAGGCAGCCCUGAUACUGGAUUUUCACCUGAGGAUGGAUAGAUCUUCAGGGUUCAAGUGGGUUUGCAUCUGGACUUUAGGGUGGCCCUGUAGGCCCUGUGUGAGAAGCCCCCUUCCCAGUGAACUUUCCCUUGUGUGCCCGCGUGGACAGCCAACAGGGGGAGCAGUGCGAGCGUGAAGGCAGACAGUGGCCUGGCCCAGUCUGAUGGUGCAGAAGCUGAGCUGCAGAGGCGUUAGGUACCUGCCUCAUAAGUGGUAGAGACUCCAGUGUCACCCUGCCCCUCACGUUCGGAGCCCCCGAGGGAGGGUCUGCCGGGCAGCUCAGCCCAGCACUCUGUAAGGAAAUCUUCAGUGCCACUGCCCAGGAUGUCUUCCCGGGGAUUGGGCCUGAAUGUCUUGACCAUGCCGUGCUGGAGGGAGAGACCCACCGACCCUGUGGGGCUGGUCCCUACAUCUGGCGCUCUGACGUGGGGCUCUCCCUCGCUGUGUGAAGUUGCACCCUGAGUGCGGGAUCAGCGGAGGAGUUCAACGAGAGAUUCCUGAGGAUUGCAGUCUAUAAACUUGGUGGAAAAGAACUACAGCCUGUGUGGGUCCCCUCCCGACAAUUAAAAUUGCACCAUAACUCCAAAGAUGAAACGCUCCCAGAAAGAAAAGGCAAAGACCCAUCGGAAACAAAAGAGCAACUUUCACCGCCUGAUACAUACACUUCAUGACAUCCACAUUGAGACAAAAUCUCGCCGUGUGACCUACAACACCUCUCGUUCAACCCCACCUACUUGGGGUCGAAUACAGAUUUUAUCUCAUCAAACAGAAAAAUUCUUAACAGAAAAAGGAAUCCCAAAAAUGACUGGUAAUAUAAUUCUGGCUGCCUUUAUGGUAGUCAGUGCAGCGUCUGCAGAUGCCUCUAAGGAGUCCGAAACCAAGUCCGAAGUCAACAACAAGCAAUGAUGGCGAUGGCGAUUCUAGUUAAUAAAAAGGGGGGAGAUGUGGGCGGCAAGCCACCCAGGCACCGAGGCAAGAGACAGAGGACACGAGCUGUUCCAGUAUAAUAAAAUAUAAAACAAGAAUAGUUAUACCAGAUAUAGAUCUUAGAUAUGAUUAUAUACGAAUAUCAUUAAUCAUGAGUUUGUAGCAAUUACUUUUUAUUCCAAUAUUAUGAUAAUCCUCGCUCUAUAAUCAUAGCCUAGGAAAAACCAGGCCAUACAGAGAUAGGAGCUGAGGGGACAUAGUGAAGUGUGACCAGAAGACAAGAGUGCGAGCCUUCUGUUAUGCCCGGACAGGGCCACCAGAGGGCUCCUUGGUCUAGCGGUGACGCCAGCGUCUGGGAAGACACCCGUUACCAGGCGGAUCGUGGCCCAGCCGUAGCAAAAGGUGUCAAGGAACACCUUUUGCAAAAGGUGUCAACACCCGCUACUUAGCAGACUGGGAAAGGGGGGCGGUCUCCCUUUCCCCGGGGGAGUUUAGAGAAGACUCUGUUCCUCCACCUCUUGUGGAGGGCCUGACAUCAGUCAGGCUUGCCCGUAGUUAUCCGGAGGCCUAACUGUCUCCCUGUGAUGCUGUGCUUCAGUGGUCACGCUCCUAGUCUGCCUUCAUUUUCCAUCCUGUACACCUGGCUCUGCCUUCUAGAUAGCAGUAGUAAAUUAGUGAAAAUACUAAUAGUCCCUGAUAUGCAGAAAUAAUGGCAUAAGCUGUCUUUCUCUCUGUCUCCUCUCCCUCUCUGCCUCGGCUGCCAGGCAGGGAAGGGCCCCCUGUCCAGUGGACACAUGACCCAUGUGACCUUACCUAUCAUUGGAGGUGACUCACAUUCUUUACCCUGCCCCUUCUGCCUUGUAUCCAAUAACAGCGCAGUCAGACAUUCAGGGCCACUACCGGUCUCCGCACAUUGGUGGUAGUGGUCCCCCGGGCCCAGCU